This 117-nucleotide ribosomal RNA is filed under the name Pteropus alecto (black flying fox). Lineage: Eukaryota; Metazoa; Chordata; Mammalia; Chiroptera; Pteropodidae. The record is from RNAcentral.
AUCUAUGGCCAUGCCACCCUGAAUGUGCCUGAUCCCAUCUGAUCUCGGAAGCUAAGUAGAGUCAGGCCUGGUUAGUACUUGGAUGGGAGACCCUAGGAAGACCAGGUGCUAUAGGCU